This 496-nucleotide ribosomal RNA is filed under the name uncultured bacterium. Its description in RNAcentral is "bacterial SSU rRNA". It matches the Rfam family "Bacterial small subunit ribosomal RNA", at positions 28 to 511 of the family's 1533-position model. The record is from RNAcentral.
GAUGAACGCUAGCUACAGGCUUAACACAUGCAAGUCGAGGGGCAGCGGGAUUGAAGCUUGCUUCAAUUGCCGGCGACCGGCGCACGGGUGAGUAACGCGUAUCCAACCUUCCGUACACUCAGGGAUAGCCUUUCGAAAGAAAGAUUAAUACCUGAUGGUAUGAUGAGAUUGCAUGAUAGCAUCAUUAAAGAUUUAUCGGUGUACGAUGGGGAUGCGUUCCAUUAGGUAGUAGGCGGGGUAACGGCCCACCUAGCCUACGAUGGAUAGGGGUUCUGAGAGGAAGGUCCCCCCACAUUGGAACUGAGACACGGUCCAAAACUCCUACGGGAGGCAGCAGUGAGGAAUAUUGGUCAAUGGACGAGAGUCUGAACCAGCCAAGUAGCGUGAAGGAUGAAGGUCCUACGGAUUGUAAACUUCUUUUAUAAGGGAAUAAAGUGGGAGUCGUGACUCUUUUUGCAUGUACCUUAUGAAUAAGGACCGGCUAAUUCCGUGCCAG